Molecule: ribosomal RNA, 375 nt
Filed under: uncultured bacterium
Lineage: Bacteria
Description: bacterial SSU rRNA
Rfam family: Bacterial small subunit ribosomal RNA
Source: RNAcentral
UACAGAGGGUGCAAGCGUUAAUCGGAAUCACUGGGCUUAAAGCGUUCGUAGGCGGGCUUGCAGGCGCGUUGUGAAAGCCCCCGGCUCAACCGGGGAACUGCUUCGCGAACCGCAAGUCUUGAGUCAAGUAGGGGCGGUCGGAACGAUAGGUGGAGCGGUGAAAUGCGUAGAUAUCUAUCGGAACGCCAAAGGUGAAGACAGGCCGCUGGGCUUGUACUGACGCUGAGGAACGAAAGCGUGGGGAGCAAACGGGAUUAGAUACCCCGGUAGUCCACGCCGUAAACGAUGCGCACUAGGUCGGGGAGGCUUGACGCCCUCCUGGCCGAAGCAAAAGUGUUUAGUGCGCCGCCUGGGGAGUACGGUCGCAAGGCUAAA